CCGGUUUCUCCUGGAUCAGCCAAGCCUCUCGCCAGUUCUCUCCUUGGAUCGCCGGUUCUCUCUUCUCUUUUUGGGGUUUGUCUCUCACGAUUUUGGCAGAGGUUCCCCUUAAGAAUUUUGUGUCAAAUUCUGGAUCCAGGGCUCUGUAUUUAUAGAGAGAGGGAGUCGGAACUGCCAUGGGCCCGAAGGGGUGGGAGUUGUAACCAAAAAGAUGUCUCUCUCUCCCUUGCAACCGUUCGGCAAUAACUGCCCUCAACCGGUCCUCAACUGCCUCCAACUGCUCAUGUCCCUGUCGGUUCUCUACCCUGAAGCCAAGGCUAAGCCCUUUAACUGACCGUCCAUACCGUGGCCGCACCAUCUAACCAAACCACCAUAACCGUCCUUGUAACCGCCCCAACCGUCCCGGACAUGAGCACUCGGCCCAGCUGAGUUGAGCUGACUGCUAGCUGGUCCCAGCUGAGUGAGCUAGUCCUUCUAGCUCCAUGAGCUGAUGCAUACUAACUGAGCCCCCAUUGAGCUUCCCUGAGCUGCCCAAGCUCGGCC
This 543-nucleotide long non-coding RNA is filed under the name Brassica rapa (field mustard). Its description in RNAcentral is "long non-coding RNA (BRAP_LNC008290)". The record is from RNAcentral. Lineage: Eukaryota; Viridiplantae; Streptophyta; Magnoliopsida; Brassicales; Brassicaceae.